Non-coding RNA from Pocillopora verrucosa, 354 nucleotides. The record is from RefSeq and is a predicted model, not a curated record. Lineage: Eukaryota; Metazoa; Cnidaria; Anthozoa; Scleractinia; Pocilloporidae.
AGCUGGUGGUCCAAUCGAUUUCAAGCGUUGAGUGACAGAUUGUGUCUAUAUCAGUAGAGAAGCUUAAAGCUAAAGCUGUUGGUCGAAUCGAAUUCAAGCGUUGUGUUACAGAUUGUGUCUGUAUCAGGAGAGAAGCUCAAAGCUUAAGAAAUCCGUCCCUUCUACGAACAUACAACAGUCAAUACUGAAUAACGAAGAUAAGGUCAUUUCGAAGAAAUCCAUCACCCCUUCAGAGAUACAAAAGUAAACACUGAGUACCGAAGAUAAGGUCAUUGCGAAGCUGUCGGUGGAAUCGAUUUUAAGCGUUGAGUGACAGAUUGUGUCGAUAUCAGGAGAAAAGCUCAAAGCUAGAGG